RNAcentral lists this non-coding RNA (90 nucleotides) under Aggregatibacter aphrophilus. Lineage: Bacteria; Pseudomonadati; Pseudomonadota; Gammaproteobacteria; Pasteurellales; Pasteurellaceae. The record is from RNAcentral.
UGCGGUCAAAAAACAAUGUUUUUUGAAUAUUGGCUUUAGCAACAGCUCCAAAGGAAUGAGUAGGUUUCUAUGCGAGCUUGUGAAUAAAAU